AGUUUUCCCCCAGGCUGUGGCCCCCGGCACCCAGCCCCGGGCUUGGUACACAGUGGGAACUUGAUACCUAUUUGUUCAAUGAAUAAUGAACACGGCAUAUGAAACCUAUUAGGUGAUUUUGGCCUUGGGUCUCAUUUGGGGAACUCACAUAAACUGCAUCCAACAGAGCGUCUGCUACCCACCUGGUCCUGGCUGGCAGAGAAGCUGUAGCACUGAAGCUUUUGGCAGGCAGUUUCAUCAAAAAUCUUGGCUGUUUCGAAUAUAUGUCCAGCCAGUCUGAAGACAAGCACUAAUACCUUCCUGCCUUUUGAAAAGCAAAACUCACUGGAAACACAAUGUCUCCGUGGUAAGAGCCAAAUACUCUGCUAGGCACAAAGCUCUGAGAAUCAAGGCAGCUUUUUAAGCUUUUCAAUGAGGAAACUAAGUGUAAACUGUGUAUACAGCAAAAAAAAAAAAAAAAAAAAAAAAAAAUGUCCUUUAAUGUUGACAGAAGUCACUUUCUGGAGCUUGUUCCUAUUGUAUUUCCAUGUCUUCAUCCUGCUAACUCUCCGAUGCCUUUUUUUUUUUCCUUCAAAAAGAUAACAUUCCCAGUACAGUGGUGUACAGUUAGGAAAAGUUUAUUUUGCGCGCUUCCAGCAUCAGCAUCAAAGUCAAUGGCAUUUUCUACCAAGGAACAUCAGCUCCGAAUUAUCUUUGUCUAGAUUAUCUAGUGUUUGUUUUUUCCAGAUUUUCUUCUCCAAAACUCAGCCUGUCACAAAACAUCUUCAGCUUCCAUUGGCUGCUGUAGCCUAGUUAAUUUUUUUUUUCUCCAAGAGAAGGAAAAUUGACUCGGAGAUUAGCUUAACUAAAACACGGGGUAGGUUGCUCUAAAGAAAAGUGAAUUUCACUGGGUCACAAGAAAAAGAGAGGAAUAACUUUGGAGGCUCUAUUACUAUUAUAUUAUUGAUACUAUUGAUAUUAUUGUUAUUAUUACAACUACCAUCACGAUUACUCCUAUUCGUAUUUGGCUCUGUGACCCUUUAAGACAGAUCUCACCUUUUCUCUUUCUGUAACAUCCAGCUGAGCCAAGCAUCGUUUUGGAACUCUUUUUUGAGUUAAUUCAGAAGCCAUAAUUUUCUCCGAAUGCUGAGAAAUGAUUUGGAAUGAGGCCAUUUCACAGCACUGCAAGGUUGGAAGAGCUCCUUCCAGUUUACCUCAUUCAACCACCAUCAGUUUUUCUGGUCUCCUAACGUUGCUGCCGAGAGGGUGGUCUGGCCCCUGAUGGAACGCUUUGGGAUGGUCUGGUCUCUGAAACACUAGGAGGGCCUCGCUUUGAUCAUCGUUCACCUCAUUCCUGAAGCCACUGUAAUUGCUCUGUGGUUGGGUGGCCGAACACUCCAAGGGGGUGUAGGUAAGACUUGGGACAGGCCAGCCAAAUCCACCUGCACACAUUCAAUUCGCUGUGGCUGGCAGGAGUCCAGCCUAGAUACCAUUCAUACGAACAGGAGUCUUUUUGAAUUCGAGUCUUAUCUCCAGAAGCCAGUGAGAACAUCCAUUGUUCUCCUGCUGCAAGUUAACAGCUCUGCAUACUUUAGAAGCAAUGAGCCUAAACAAAAAGGAAUUUUCUUCCAGUGGUUUGUGUUGGAGCCAGUAGGAGCUAUGGAGUGCAUGCCGGGUGCAGAAGGAUUGAACGGAUUUUAGAAAAAUCUGUGGCUUAUUACUUAUUGUGUUACCCUGAGCCCCUCAACCAUGCCAGUACUAACCUUUAGCUAGUGCUAACGGUUAGGCAAGGUAGGAUUUCUUUGCUUAACCAACAGCUCAAGCUUAAUAACUGCCAUGACAAAUAACUUUGCUCUAGUCUACUAAUUACUAAAAGGAAUGGCUAGCUGUCUCCUAUUUUCUUUUAAUCGCUCUGUUUCUCAUGUAAUUAACCUAUUAAACAGCUACGUUUACCUCUAACAGGAUGCGGUCAUUUGAGGAAUCAUGUCUUGAGGUGAAACAAAUCCUCCUUCAUUUCUUGCUGUGUUACAGCUCACUGGUCAGAAUUACAAAGAGGGGCAUUUACAAGUAAGAACACUGGAUUCCCUGUUGUGGCUCAGUGGGUUAAGAACCCAAGCUAGUAUCCGUGAGGAUGCAGGUUCAAGCCCUGGCCCCGCUCCGUGGGUUAAGGAUCUGGUGGUGCCAUGAGCUGUGGUGUAGGUCUGAAGCUGUAGCUCUGACUCCACUCCCAGCUCCAGAACUUCCACAUGCCACAGGUGUGGCCCUAAAAAGAAAAAAAAAAGGGGGGGGGACUAAGAACACUGAUGACUGAUCAGCCACUGAAGCUGUCUUUGGGAAGACGGAAGUCUGGGAACUCCUAGCUACUCAGGGCAGAGUUUAAGUCUGGUGGUCUCUGAGCAGGACCACAGAAUCACAGGCUUUGCCGAAAGUUCGAUGCCGGGUGUGAACAGCAGCCUCAUGACUCAUUCAAGGGUGAGCUGGAAUGGGGUGAUCCAGGCAGAAGACUUUUCAAGAGAAGCAAAACUGUAGCCAAAUGACUAGCAGGGCCCAGGAGUGCUGGGGAAACCCAGCUGUCUGUUAGACUUCCCUUCCCCUGCCCCACCACCCUGAAAAAAAAAGGGCUUGUUUGUUCAAAAGGCUCCAGGCAGUGAGUUUACAUACAGGAUUGGACACAUCUGGAAGAUGCAAUUACUGGGCCUGCAAUUAGUAAGCUUGGUACCCACACACAUGGAGAAGGUGCAUCUCCUGUUCUUACACCUCUGGGAGAGUCUGGCCUUUAAACCUUAGGUCUUCUUUUGUCAUUUAGGAAAAUUGGUAACCAUUCAAUUGUUCAUUGGAAGUGAGUUCUCCUUGUGGGGAUGGAAUGCGGCUACCCGGGAGAUGAUUUCAUUCGAUCAGACCCAGAAGUCGCCAAGCCUCCCAAAGAUGAUUUCUUUAGACACAGAAUGUUCUAUGAGUCUGUGCUUUGACUGCAGAGCCCUAUCAGGUGAAUAAUUAUACUGUAACUGUGUUUCAGACAAUGCUAGUGACGAGCGAAGCAAUUUCUGUUUUGAAAUGUUACCUUAUGGGUGAAAGUCCACUGAUCAUCCUUCUGGAAGAUUAAAAGAAAACAGAACUCAGAAGUUUUUAUAUGUGUGUGUGUAUAAAUUCCACCAUUUAAUCUAUGUAGAAAUGAAUGUAAUUAUAUAAUUAUAGAUAUGCAAUUAUAGAAAUUUACAUACAUUUCAGAAAGUCUCCGUCUAGAUAAAUUUAGAUAAAUCUCAAUCUAGAUAUGCUUAUUAUUUGACUGCCUGGACUUGAAGGGGGAAACUUUUAUGAAAAAAAAAAAAAAAA
This 3312-nucleotide long non-coding RNA is filed under the name Sus scrofa (pig). RNAcentral describes it as "lncRNA (ENSSSCG00045020005.1)". Lineage: Eukaryota; Metazoa; Chordata; Mammalia; Artiodactyla; Suidae. The record is from RNAcentral.